CCUACGGGAGGCAGCAGUGAGGAAUAUUGGUCAAUGGACGAGAGUCUGAACCAGCCAAGUAGCGUGAAGGAUGACUGCCCUAUGGGUUGUAACCUUCUUUUAUAUGGGAAUAAAAUGUUCCACGUGUGGGAUUUUGUAUGUACCCUAUGAAUAAGGAUCGGCUAACUCCGUGCCCGCAGCCGCGGUAAUACGGAGGAUCCGAGCGUUAUCCGGAUUUAUUGGGUUUAAAGGGAGCGUAGGUGGAUUGUUAAGUCAGUUGUGAAAGUUUGCGGCUCAACCGUAAAAUUGCAGUUGAAACUGGCAGUCUUGAGUACAGUAGAGGUGUGAGGAAUUCGUGGUGUAGCGGUGAAAUGCUUAGAUAUCACGAAGAACUCCGAUUGCGAAGGCAGCUCACUGGACUGCAACUGACACUGAGGCUCGAAAGUGUGGGUAUCAAACAGGAUUAGAUACCCGAGUAGUC
This 460-nucleotide ribosomal RNA is filed under the name uncultured bacterium. RNAcentral describes it as "partial 16S ribosomal RNA". It matches the Rfam family "Bacterial small subunit ribosomal RNA", at positions 338 to 795 of the family's 1533-position model. The record is from RNAcentral.